GCGCUCUUCUGAUCUCUGGCAAUGAUUUGUUCAGAUUUAACUAAAAGCUAUGAUGCGAUUGGUUUGUCUAUGCUGGACAAUCGAAUUUGGGUGUUUGUUGCAGAAUGUAUGGUCGGUGUGCUCUGGCCUUUACAGUUUCCUUUCC
Molecule: long non-coding RNA, 145 nt
Organism: Pygocentrus nattereri (red-bellied piranha)
Lineage: Eukaryota; Metazoa; Chordata; Actinopteri; Characiformes; Serrasalmidae
Exons: 3
Source: RefSeq, a predicted model, not a curated record